UCGUUCCUCCUCCUCCUCUCUUUAUCGAUCUCUCAGAAGAAAGAGGGCCUAAGAUUCUUCUUCUUCUUCUUCUUCUUCUUCGAUGUUCUUCUAUUUCUUUCUUCUCAACUUCUUCUUUUUCGUUGUUUUUCGCUUUUUUUCUUCUCAAAAGCAUGAACUGAGAAAUCGUUCAUAUCAAUUAAGAAGAAAUCUGGAGAAGUAAAUGGAUCAGGAAGGUGUUACUGAGUUUGUGAAUUUUGUUUUGGUUAGGGUUAUUAUUGAUUGAAGAACGACGAAUCAGUAAGAAAUAGAGUUAGGGUUUCUGCAAUUAGUAUUCAGUUUGUGCAAAAUCAAAGGAGGAAAUAGUAGAUUGAAUAACAGAAGGAGGAUAUGGUGGAGUUGUAUUAACUCGGGUUAUAGAGGAUAGGGUAAAUCAUAGAGAGGAAGUUAAAGUUUGGAAAUUGAUUUAAGGUUCAAUUUGUUUCCCGUCGCACUGAGGCCGUAUUGGAUAUGAAGAUGGAGAUGGUGGUUGAGUUCAAGUGUUGAAGUUGCAGCUGCUCUAUAAGCUACAGAAAGUGGAGAUAGAAUUGUUGUGUGUUGUGUUGAUGAGUCUGAGAAGAUUCGAAGUAGGGUUAUGUGGGAUAUUGUAUGAUAUUGAAGUGGUAGAAGAUGAAUUUCUAUGAAGUUGAUGGUUGAACUGAGUGCAAUCAAGCCAUGGCAUUGCAGGUGGUCUGGAACUGAGAUUGGUAAGGGUUCAGCUGGUGCUAGUUGUCCUGUUGAGAAGUUGUUGUUGCAGAGCUGAAGUGAAUGGUACUGGGAAGGCUGAAUGAAAGAAAUGGGUUGAGCACUAGAUGGAGAUUGAAGCAGCUGCUGCAAUGGAAACUGAGAUGGCAACCAGGUGAAGGCUGUUGGGUUUGAUUUGAAAUGGUUUUAGCUCAAGUUGUAAGCCUGAAGCGCAAGCAGCAUAUAAAUUGAAGCUGGUGCAUUAGCAGUGGGUUUUAGCUAUUUGCAAUUGCAGGUGUGUGGCAUGAGUUGCAGGCAAGGCUGAAUAGGAUAAUGGUCGAACUGGCGGUGUUAACUGGGAUAAUUAUGUCAUUCAGAAGUGGUGAAGAUGCCUCAGGCACCUUUUCCACCUAAAGAAGAAGAAAGGCAGCUUUCAAAGAAGGAGCUGAAGAAAAAGGAACUUGCAGAACUUGAUGCAGUUCUGGCUGAGCUAGGAUUUGACAAGAAAGAAACUGAUGGCCAAGAUGAAUCGCAUGGUAAUUUGAUCAUCUGUUUUUAUGCUUUUUGCUUUAAAGCAGCUGUUAAAUUAGUUGACCUGGUAAGUGUUGCAUGAAUUGUUGUCUGCAUCUUAUGAAAUGCCUGCUGAUUUUAGUUGUUUGAUUGGUGUUUAUGUCUUCUCUAAUUUCUGUAUCUUCCCUGUUUUGUUGUGCUAGUCGCGUCAAGAGCAGGCUAAUUUCAGCUGUACAUCACUCAGAGACUUGUCACUUUUCAUUUCUCUUACAAAAUUCCCUGGCUUCCUUGUAUAAAAGAUGGAAAUGAAAUCUUGAGUCUGAAGCAACUAUAUUUGUGGAAUAUCCUGACAUGAAAUGGUUUUGCUUUGUGUUUCUUUCAAUUUCACUCAUCCUACUUUUAUUUGUGGUUGCUGCUUAUAUGGUUGAAAAGCUAGCUCAAAAUAAGCUUGUUUCAGAACCAGUUUAACACUAAUGGUUUUUGCUAGUGUUGGGUGGCUGAAGCUGGUAUCAUAUGCACAUACAAACUAUGAUGUGCAAGCGCUUUCCAAGUCUAGGGACAAGUAUAUCAAUUCAAGUGUCCAAGACUCUCAACAUCUGAAGGGGAAUCUCUUAUAUGCUGUAGAGAGGGUGUUGAAGCUACCAGUUCUGACUUUGUAUGUGUGACUCUGCAUGUUUAUUGUUUCUUCCACUUGUGAAUCUUGUACAUAAUAUUUAGGUCAAAAAGCUAUUCUCUACCCUGGUUAAAUAUACUCUGGGAACAGCCUUUGCCAUCUGAAUAAUUCCCUAUUUGCUAAGGUCCAGAACCAGCUUGUACAAGUACCAACUCACUUCCUCUAGGUGCUAAGACGUAUUAUUAAAGCAGGUUAGGCGAAGUGUUUCGGAUUUGAGAGCGAAAGACUAAGCAAGAGAAGGCAGAGACUGUUAUGUGAGUUAUGUGCUUGUUUUAUUCUUAUAUGCUCUUAGUUGUAAACAAUUGUUGUAUGAGCUUUAUGCCGCACAUAACUUAGGAAUUCUCUUAAGUUUCUAAGAAGUUGUUGUAUUCCUCAAAACUAAGGAAUUAUGUUAAGUAGUUGUUGAAAGAAUACAACAAGUUGCUGUUGACACCAUGU
Long non-coding RNA from Papaver somniferum (opium poppy), 2323 nucleotides. RefSeq lists it as uncharacterized. The transcript is spliced from 7 exons. Lineage: Eukaryota; Viridiplantae; Streptophyta; Magnoliopsida; Ranunculales; Papaveraceae. The record is from RefSeq and is a predicted model, not a curated record.